This 497-nucleotide ribosomal RNA is filed under the name uncultured bacterium. RNAcentral's name for it is "partial 16S ribosomal RNA". It matches the Rfam family "Bacterial small subunit ribosomal RNA", at positions 28 to 507 of the family's 1533-position model. The record is from RNAcentral.
GAUGAACGCUGGCGGCGUGCCUAAUACAUGCAAGUCGAGCGAACAGAUGAGGAGCUUGCUCCUCUGACGUUAGCGGCGGACGGGUGAGUAACACGUGGAUAACCUACCUAUAAGACUGGGAUAACUUCGGGAAACCGGAGCUAAUACCGGAUAAUAUAUUGAACCGCAUGGUUCAAUAGUGAAAGACGGUUUUGCUGUCACUUAUAGAUGGAUCCGCGCCGCAUUAGCUAGUUGGUAAGGUAACGGCUUACCAAGGCAACGAUGCGUAGCCGACCUGAGAGGGUGAUCUGCCACACUGGAACUGAGACACGGUCCAGACUCCUACGGGAGGCAGCAGUAGGGAAUCUUCCGCAAUGGGCGAAAGCCUGACGGAGCAACGCCGCGUGAGUGAUGAAGGUCUUCGGAUCGUAAAACUUUGGUAUUAGGGAAGAACAAAUGUGUAAGUAACUAUGCACGUCUUGACGGUACCUAAUCAGAAAGCCACGGCUAACUACGGG